Molecule: ribosomal RNA, 253 nt
Filed under: uncultured bacterium
Lineage: Bacteria
Description: partial 16S ribosomal RNA
Rfam family: Bacterial small subunit ribosomal RNA
Source: RNAcentral
UACGUAGGGUGCAAGCGUUGUCCGGAAUUAUUGGGCGUAAAGAGCUCGUAGGCGGUUUGUUGCGUCGGCUGUGAAAUCCCGAGGCUCAACCUCGGGUCUGCAGUCGAUACGAGCAAACUAGAGUGUUGCAGGGGAGACUGGAAUUCCUGGUGUAGCGGUGAAAUGCGCAGAUAUCAGGAGGAACACCGGUGGCGAAGGCGAAUCCCUGGAAAAUACCUGACACUGAGGCACGAAAGCUAGGGGAGCAAACAGG